AAAACAUGUAGGUCCACUCCUCAUAUAAAGAAAUUGACAGUAAGUUGACUAACUGUUCAAGACCUCUCCCCUUCACUUCACUCUGACUUUGAAUGGCCCCACAAACCGCAGGCCCAGCUUCCGGCAGGGCAGGUUUCGGGUCGAGAGCCAGACCUCGUCUCCCAGUGCAAACACCGGGGCCUCACUGUGGUGACAGUCUGCGCCCACUUUCUGGUGCAGCAAGGCACGCUGAAGGUGGACAUUGGCGGCUUCCCAUGUUUCCUCUGCGCGCAGGAACCAGUCGUCCACCUCAGGAGCCUCGUUCUGGCUCUGAUGCCAAGGUGCCAGAACCGGUUGAUAGCCCAGUAUGCACUGGAAGCGGGAGACGUUAGUGGAGGAGUGUCGGAGCGAGUUCUGGGCCAUCUCUGCCCAGGGCACGAAUGCUGCCCACACCCCUGGCCGGUCCUGGCAAUAGGACCUCAGAAACCUACUAGCAUCAUGGUUUACUCUCUCCACCUGCCCGUUACUCUUGGGAAGAAAACUUGAGCACAGACUACUCAGUAAAUAUACCACUUUAUGGUUAAAGGAAAUCCUGCCUCAGUCUCAUCCAUUCCUCUGUCACCUGACAUGUGACCACCUGUUCACCUUCACUGUCAGUCAUCCUACCUGUCCAGCUACCCACACAGAUUUCACUUAUCUUUCAAUGGUCCUUCGAGCCGGAUGUUGACUGAACCAAAGACAGGUGAAAAGGAAAUGGAGGCGGAGAGGGAAGAAUUGUCUCCACUGGAAGAAAGAAGAGAGGAGGAGAGAACAGCAUGAGGGUAAGGUCUUGGAACAAAAUAAAUAUCCAGGAGCUAAGCCUAAAGCAACAAAGGCUUCAUCCUCAACCACCAGCAGCACCAGAAGAACCAGGCAAGCACCUGGUUAUCUUAAGGAUUAUGUGGUCAAGUUUCCGACUUCAAAGGGCAAGCCCACCAGAGCUCAAAGUGGUGAUGGAUCAACUGUACGUUUCAGCCAUCAACCAUCCCCUUUGAGCCAAGGACCGGAAACUGCUUUGGAGCAGGAAAGUGGACUACAGGAAGAACCCAUGAAGGUGACUCCCACAGCACAGGUCAACCAGCUUCCUGAAGCAGGCUCCGCUCACCCCUUAACUAAUGGGAAAUCGUCGAAGCACUCUAGACGGAGUGGGAGUUCGACCAGUGGGUACCCCUUUGGAAGUGGUCAUGGCAGCCGCCAUUCACUAGCCCUCAGCGAUUCACCGACCACUGUUCUACAAGAGAGGAUGAAACUAUUAGCUUUGGAGGAAAUUGAGCGUCAUAUUGAGGAGGAACGACAGGCUGACGAAGGAUGUCACCAAUUGGAUGUGCAGGCCCGUAGAGCUCUACAGGAACGGGAAUUCAUUGCCAAGGACCUGGCACAGCAGCGACGGCACCGUCAAGCCAGAAGGGAAUUGGAGGAGGCACGGAUGGUCUCAUCCUUCCUGGAGAGGAACGAACAGGGAGUUGACCUGACCACCCCUCUACAUGGACCUGACCUGUCUACCUUUCUUUCCCAAUCUGCCCCUCUGGUACCGCAUGGCACACAGUCCCCGGAGGCUCCGGGGUCAACAGCUAACAUGGAGCAUGGGGACAGUCUGCUCCACCAUCGCCCUCUAUGCCAGUGACACAAGUUAGCAUUCCUCCAUCUGGACAAAUCAUUACUCCUUCGCCUUUCCGGCAAAUUGUUCCUCUCGUACAGGGCCAGGCCAGUCCUCAAAUAUCAGAUGGGAGGGCUCUCACCCAAUUCCAGCUGCCACCAUUGGAGGGUCUGGGACAGUAGGGGACCGGCCCAAUGAGGCCACAGUGGGCUCAUCAGAAGUCCCGGAUUUCUCCUUCACGCACUCAGAAGAGGGAGCGAACAUUAUGAAUCUUCUAGUAGCCUCAGCCUAUGGAAUUCCCAGACCCAAACUGCCAUACUUUGAGAGAGGAAAGGAAUUGAAUUUGUCCUUUUGGAAAUGGCAUUGGAGAGCCUACUGGGUAUUCUCAGUCAUCUGUCAGAACGCUACAAAUACCAAGUACUAAUGGACCAUUUGCGGUUUCCCAGUGCAUAUAGGCUGGCCCAAUCCUUUAUGCACUCCGCUACACCAUACACUGCUGCUCUCCAGGUCCCGAAGCCCAGAUAUGGUGAGCCACACCAGCUAGUCCAGAAUGAACUAAACAACAUCCUGAACACGUCUCCAAUUAAAAUGGGAGACCAUGCUGCCUUCCAAGAGUUCUCCCUGGCUGUCCAAUCCCUGACCUCAAUGCUCCAAUCCGUUGAAGGAGAAGACGGGAACGAGCUGAAAUGUGGCUCCCACGUGGACAGGCUUCUUAGCAAAUUUCCAGUGUACCUCAAAGACAGUUUAAUGGAAAAUUGUUUGAACAAGGGCAUCCUGAGAGAGGGCUCGAGAAGCACCUAUGCUCUCAGAGACCUUGCCGCAUUGUUGGAGGUGAAGGCAAAGGUGAAGAGCAUCGCUCACCAGGCCACAAUCUCAGCCAUAGCCACUGGGGAAGGAAGGAGUUUUUAAAAAAAAAAAAAUUUUUAUUUUUUUAUUUCACCUUUAUUUAACCAGGUAGGCCAGUUGAGAACAAGUUCUCAUUUGCAACUGCG
Oncorhynchus tshawytscha (Chinook salmon) is the source of this 2607-nucleotide long non-coding RNA. The record is from Ensembl. Lineage: Eukaryota; Metazoa; Chordata; Actinopteri; Salmoniformes; Salmonidae.